GACGAACGCUGGCGGCGUGCCUAAUACAUGCAAGUCGAACGCUUCUUUCCUCCCGAGUGCUUGCACUCAAUUGGAAAGAGGAGUGGCGGACGGGUGAGUAACACGUGGGUAACCUACCCAUCAGAGGGGGAUAACACUUGGAAACAGGUGCUAAUACCGCAUAACAGUUUAUGCCGCAUGGCAUAAGAGUGCAAGGCGCUUUCGGGUGUCGCUGAUGGAUGGACCCGCGGUGCAUUAGCUAGUUGGUGAGGUAACGGCUCACCAAGGCAACGAUGCAUAGCCGACCUGAGAGGGUGAUCGGCCACACUGGGACUGAGACACGGCCCAGACUCCUACGGGAGGCAGCAGUAGGGAAUCUUCGGCAAUGGACGAAAGUCUGACCGAGCAACGCCGCGUGAGUGAAGAAGGUUUUCGGAUCGUAAAACUCUGUUGUUAGAGAAGAACAAGGACGUUAGUAACUGAACGUCCCCUGACGGUAUCUAAACAGAAAGCCACGGCUAACUACGUG
Molecule: ribosomal RNA, 508 nt
Filed under: uncultured bacterium
Lineage: Bacteria
Description: partial 16S ribosomal RNA
Rfam family: Bacterial small subunit ribosomal RNA
Source: RNAcentral